Molecule: long non-coding RNA, 3672 nt
Organism: Bombus huntii
Lineage: Eukaryota; Metazoa; Arthropoda; Insecta; Hymenoptera; Apidae
Exons: 3
Source: RefSeq, a predicted model, not a curated record
UAUUAUUAUUAUUACCAUUUUAUGACUUACAUCUUUCUAUUUGUUUACAAUUUAUAAUCACUGUAUCUCUUAAUAUACUUUUAUUUUGUUAAAUCUCAUCUUAAGAAAUAUUCAAUUUUCACUGUAGCUUGUUAUGUGAAAGAAAAUAAGCUACAAAUAUCUGAUUAUACAUUGGUUAUGUGACAAAUAUCUCCAAAUAAUCGACGAAGGAGAGCGUUAAGUGUGCGACAGUGAGAAAAAUCGAUACACCGUAAGAGGUUAUUUAUCGCGGUCGUCAUCUUCAAGGUUAUAUCGUAAUAUGAAACAUACACGAUAGGUACUUUCACUUUACGCCGAUGACACCGGGCAUAAUCAUUUGUAGUAAUUCUUCACGUCCCAAUCACUUCCUGGAACAUAAUCAGUCCAACCUGGUGCGACGUAGAUAUACUCACAUUUGACACCGUCGAGCACAUUGACACUGUCACAUUGGCCGAUAUUACUGGUAAAUCGAUGGCGAAAGUAAAUGUCAAUGAAACAAACACACGCGUUGGCGUGGCUCGAAUUCUUCGAGGAUAUUUCCAUCUAAGAAUCGUUGUUACACGAUACACGUAACCAUUGUUGUUUUUUUGAAAUCGAUCCUUUUAUCGUUAUUUUUAUGAAAUCAUUCAAUUCGAAUAAUUUUGUAAUCUUGGAUAUUUUAAUUUCCCGAUAAAACAUUUCAUUUGAUUUGCGUAUGUUUAUGAUAUAAACAUUCGCAAUAAUAAACGAAAGAAUCAUAAGAAUUAAAAUAUUACCAUAUCUUGAUGAUAAUAUUGUAGGAAAUAUAGUAUUUUAUUAUAGACAAAUUCUCAUACUAAAAUAUAGCUUAAUCUUCAAAAUGAAUAUGAAAUUUUUUAUAUAAAAUUUUGUGCAUAAAUUUUUAUAUAUUUAUCGGAGAUAAAAGGACACCGGAGCCUUCCCUUUGGAACUUCGGGAAAAUCUGUAAAAUUGUAAUUAAAGUAUAUAGCCGUAAUUAAACAAUUGCCGUCAUUCUAUCCAAUUGUAUUUAUUUGAGAUUUAUGACAAUGAGCUUCGGUUCCAACGGUUCCUUCGGGCAAAAUGAUUACCAGAUGUCGAUGCUCCUACACAGCACAGGUUCAGCUAGCCUGAGGACUCGAUAGAAAUCUUAGGAUUUUGGUUUAGAAUUUAGGAAAUCUUAGGAUUUAGGAUUAAGGUUCUUCAAACGGACAAGCAGUCUUUGUCCCAACUAUGGGAAGGUCGGAGAAAUCUAUCUUUUUCACGAACAACGCUUCCGCUAGCAACUUUCCCUCGAGGGCGGCUAGCAUCCUUUUCUAGCCACCAACAUGGAAAUUGACCAAUUAACAGCAACGUCAAUUUCCCUCGCUUUCUGAACGAAGGCUAUCCCCGACGAAUCCGAAUGAUCUCGUGUCCUUGGACACAACCCAUCAUAGUUUUCCUCUGCAGCAUGAUCGCGACAGAAAGUCAUUCUCUCGUGAGGUCGUAUUAGCGAGUUACUUAGUGUCUUUACGCUCGGUGGAUAUUCCACGUUUUAACAAAGAGUUAGUUUAGUUAUGCUUCCACCGUAGCCAAGCAAAUCGAGUACGACUUGGACUUUGGAAGAAGGCGCAUUCUGUUACCCCGUUGACCGCGGAUUCGUUGUUGGACCUAGGAUCAUUGUCAUUAGCUUCUCGAGUAUCUAAGUACCACGGUUAUUUGUCAAAUUCUGUAAUAGUCGUAUUCGCACUAGUCAAUGUCUUCUCCAUUGCAUAGCAACAAUGUGUAGUCCAAAUGAGGAUUCGUUUCACGCCCCUAACCCUAACCAUAAUGCGAAUUUAUCCAGUUUUUAAAUAAAAUAUAAUAUAUAUAAUAAAAUAUGAUAACAUAAUAACAUUAUGUUUUGGUUUGUACGUUGUAAUACAAAAUCGUCCUGUUUUUACAAAUAUAUUACACGUGUACUAAUGAAUAUAAAAACAAAAGCAAUUUAUGUUGCGAUUCAAUCAAUUAUAGUUUAUUUAACCUGACAUACAAACACUCACCACACUAAAGAAAUAAAUCAAUCAAAUUCGAAGAUGGUAUCCCACUGAGGGUAGCCAUCCACAUGCUAUAUUACUAUAUCACUAAGCUAUAAUAUUUUACCAAAUGCCCUACUGGACAAAUGGUAAAAUGUAAAUAAAUAAAUAAAAAAAAAAUAUAGUUUAUAUUAUAUUAGCUGCGUGUAUGCGUCGUUGUUCGGGCUUCUGAAGGGGUGAAUCUUUUGAAUCCUAGAAUUUUGGGAUUUUCAAUCUCUUUUUGACGAGCUAAAUCUUCAUAGAAUUAUUUUUUUAAAUAUUUAUACCUUUCUUUAAAUCCUUACUUGUCCAAAUUUACUUCCUGUUUUUUUUUUAAGUUAAUAUUGUAAACAACAAAUUUUAAGAUCAUCCAGAAAACAGCCACACUACCGUACGAGGAAAAUUGAUUUUUCACGUAUUCUCUCUUAAAAUCAUUGAAAAUUAUUAAACCACUACACAAUAAAUUGCUCGGGCGUAAGAUGAGCUUUAGGAAUUAUUUUAUAUUUCCAUGAUGUCGAAGAAUAUUCAUGCUAAAUUUGCCAUACAUACAUACAUAGUUUGUCUUUUAUGUAUACGUAGAUUACAUUUAUAUAUUUAUUAUUAUAAUAUCGUAGUUCUUCCUGCUUUUUUUUUUUGUUUUGUUUUCGUUUUAGUUACAUUGAAAAUUCCUGAAUAUUUCUACGUUAUCCUAUGAAUCUCGUCGUACUAAUCAACGUGACAGAAUACUCACUACGCUAGUGAUAAGGGAAGAGCCAUUUACCGCGUAUCGGCUCAAGGAAACCAGCCAGCUGCCUUUUAUUGGCUUCCAAUGGAUCUAACAUUUGCAAAUCUAAAGUUUCUUCACCAAUAAACGCAUCUGAUAUUCCGUCGACUAGCGCACACGUAAUAAGUCGACGAAUACCGCUGCACGAAAUCGUUGCAUAAGGAACAGUCGAGAUAACUUAUAGGAUAAUCACGUUAUAGACGAUGUACAUAAAGGAAUCGUACACGUCGUUAGCUUGGAUGAUGUUGGUUUCUGAGAUAAACGUUUGGACGUAGUACCCGAUAUGAUGAGUAUAAUAAAAAAUUUUGUUUUCUAUCUUUUUAUUCAAACGCUAAUUUCAAUCAAAUUUCUACUUUUUAUUCUGUUGAUUUCUUUAUUUAUUAGCCACUGAAGAGUCAGCUCCAAUAUAAUAGCACGUUAUUAAAAUACAACAAUUUUGCAAUUGUUAAGCAAAUAAAUUGAAAUGAAAAAGAAGGUAAACAUAUAAGCGUGUAUAGCUUUCGAGUUACAGAGAGUUAAAUUAAUACACGUCGAACGUAAAGUGUAUUUACAAAGCUUGGCUCGAUUGCUGUGCAUCAAAGAAACUAUCUAUGCAAAAGAGUUGGUAUAACGCAGAAAACACUUUGGUUUCACUCGCUUUGUCUCCACCAGUCCCUACUCGUUUUAUUGUUCGGAAUCGUGGGCGUUUGGAACAGGGUUGCCGGGCAGCUGAAAAUAAUGCGCUAGGAAACAAAUUACACCUGGUCCUUUAAGUCCUGUUUCCACUAUAUAUUACUUCGAUGAAAAUUUCAAGCGUUUUUACCUAUAGACAGCAUGUAUUAUUCCAAUGUAGUUGUUCAAAAUACAUAUUCUAAAGUUCGUAGAAUACUUUUAUAUAUUGAA